This 253-nucleotide ribosomal RNA is filed under the name uncultured bacterium. Its description in RNAcentral is "partial 16S ribosomal RNA". It matches the Rfam family "Bacterial small subunit ribosomal RNA", at positions 524 to 776 of the family's 1533-position model. The record is from RNAcentral.
UACAGAGGCCUCGAGCGUUAGGCGGAAUCACUGGGCUUAAAGCGUGUGUAGGUGGAUGCCUAAGUACCUUGUGAAAUCCCAUGGCUUAACCAUGGAACUGCAUUUGAAACUGUAAAGCUUGAGUAUUGGAGAGGAUGGUAGAAUUCCUGGUGUAGUGGUGAAAUACGUAGAUAUCAGGAGGAAUACCGGAGGCGAAGGCGGCCAUCUGGCCAAAUACUGACGCUGAGAUACGAAAGCGUGGGGAUCAAACAGG